RNAcentral lists this long non-coding RNA (1770 nucleotides) under Helianthus annuus (common sunflower). RNAcentral's name for it is "hypothetical non coding rna". The record is from RNAcentral. Lineage: Eukaryota; Viridiplantae; Streptophyta; Magnoliopsida; Asterales; Asteraceae.
GUAUCCCAUUUUUUAACAAUCUUUUUGCCAUUUAGGUAUAGCAUAGAAGGAGACCUUGAGAGAGUAGGCAAAACCUUAUCAAAAAAUCCUUCUUCACCCAGACCCUAACCCACCAAAGAAAAACCCCAUUUUCUCUCCUCUUUCAAAUGGCCGAUCAGCUCAACAAUUACCGGGUCUCGGUGUUUAAAGAAGGCCUUCUGCCUCUUCGAUAAGGACUGCGAUGGAAUUUGUGGUAUUCGCAAGUCGCCGAAAGAUGGAUUUGGAAGCUUCGAUUUCGCAAGUCGCUGAAAGAUGGAUUUGGAAGCUUCCAACCAUAGGGGAAUUGUAGGCAUGAUGGUCAACCUUCCUUUUUAAUUACAUAAUAGCGGUUUACUACACUAAAAAUACCCCUUUUGCAGACUUUAUUGGAAUCUACCUUGUCAUUAAAGACAUGGUUAGUAGGCACGGCAGACCUGUAUUGUCCUUACGCAAAGGGACAUCAGGUAAAACUUAAAGGCAUACUUAAAAUAAAGAGAUAUAUAAACCUGCAUAAGUGAAAAAAAAUAGUUUUGGUUCGUCUAGAUAGAUUGCCUAUUGAACUGUGUUGCGCUAAGUUAAUCUAAACACAUAUCAAACCAACUUGUGCCAGCGUUAUCCUGCGAACUUGACUAAUUUAUUAGAUAUACUGUUGUGAAUAUAUAUUUCAAAUGUUUCUCGCUGAGACGUGCGUAGAGUGAACAAGAUAUAUAAGUUUUAGUUAAAUAUAGGGCUGCACAUUAUGUAUAGUUGCUGGCCGGUUACAUUUGACUGAAUCUAAUCACAUGUCAAGCCAACCUGUGCGGCGUUAUCCUGCUGACUUGAUUAAUCUAAUGCUUUCCAAAAGUUACUUGCUGAGGAGUUCAACGCUGUAUCAAGAUCGUGUCUCUGGUGGUUGACUGUUCAAAAAAGCACGAGAUAUAUAGUCUUUUAUUUAACGUUAGGAUGCAUCUAACGUACCGUUGAUAGGUUGUUAUGUUUUAGGUUGCACGCAGAUAGGUAAAUUCAAACUAAUAUAGAUAAAGCUACAAAGAUGUGCAUUGCCAAUACAAAACCUUGCUUCACGUUGGCUGUUCGUUUAGGAUGCACAAUUAUAUUAGUCAACCUUUAAGACGGUUUGAAGGCAGUUAGUUAGUCUGCGCCCCGAUACUAAUUGUUGGAACCUUUCUCACAACUACAGAUGCAAACUAAGCCGGUUUCAACUGUAUAAUCCAUUAUAAUCUAUUAAGACUUAUGGAUAGUUGUUACUACUGGAACCUUUCAUAAUCUCAAUACUUGAAUUCUGGUAACGAUAUAUGCAGGUACUGAAUCAUAGCACGUGUUUCAGAUAACACAGGUAGCAUCGCGGCAGUCAUUUUCGACCAUGCCGGCAAACAACUUUUAGGUAAGACGUGAAGAGUUGGCUGCAACUAAAGACCCGAUGAAAACAUUGUACUUAGUAAUGGGGAAGACACCAAUGCCCCAUCAAAAAGGCCUGGCAAAGGCAAUUUGACCGAUCAAAACUGAACUCACUGAAGAUGUCACUUUUGUCCACCUAAAAGAAGAAGCGAAGGCGGGAUGCAGCCUAAAAGUAGAAUCGCUAAAAGCAUACCUUACUUUAGAACUACUUGUAACUAAUUUGUAAACUGCAUACUAAUGCCAGCAGUGUGUAUGCCUAGACAUACUGUAUUUUGUAUGCUGUGUCUACAAACAGCACCCGAAAAAAAAAAAAAAAAAAAAAAAAACUAUUCCCAAACCCGUCUCAAACCCGAUUAA